This 90-nucleotide non-coding RNA is filed under the name human gut metagenome. Its description in RNAcentral is "SAM riboswitch (S box leader)". It matches the Rfam family "SAM riboswitch aptamer (S box leader)". From Rfam's summary of the family: The SAM riboswitch is found upstream of a number of genes which code for proteins involved in methionine or cysteine biosynthesis in Gram-positive bacteria. The SAM riboswitch acts at the level of transcription termination control. The predicted structure consists of a complex stem-loop region followed by a single stem loop terminator region. RNAcentral also lists the same sequence under 1 other name. The record is from RNAcentral.
CUUAUCAAGAGCGGUGGAGGGAACGGCCCUGUGAAGCCCGGCAACCUGCGUGUGCAAGGUGCCAAAUCCGGCGGUGAAACGAAAGAUGAG